GAGGAAGAGGGAGAGGUUUCCGUUAAAGUUUUGUGUGCAGGUAAAGAGAUGGAAAACAUGGGAGAUUCAUGUGGAGAAAUAGAUGAUAGGAGAGAGAGGCAUCACUGAAAUGAGUUCAUCUGCUGAAGAAGUUUUGAUAUUGAGUUUAUCUAUGUUGAAGAGUUUGCAGAUUCAUGGUGUAAAAUGCUAACGAUUGAAGUCUAGAGAUUGUAAAAGA
This 217-nucleotide unclassified non-coding RNA is filed under the name Hevea brasiliensis (rubber tree). The record is from RNAcentral. Lineage: Eukaryota; Viridiplantae; Streptophyta; Magnoliopsida; Malpighiales; Euphorbiaceae.